CUUACUAAAGGAAAAGUAAUUGGAAAAAAUGGCAAAGUUAUUCAAGAAAUAGUGGACAAAUCUGGUGUGGUUCGAGUGAGAAUUGAAGGGGACAAUGAAAAUAAAUUACCCAGAGAAGACGGUAUGGUUCCAUUUGUAUUUGUUGGCACUAAAGAAAGCAUUGGAAAUGUGCAAGUUCUUCUAGAGUAUCAUAUUGCUUAUCUAAAGGAAGUAGAACAGCUAAGAAUGGAACGCCUACAGAUUGAUGAACAGCUGCGACAGAUUGGUUCUAGGUCUUAUAGUGGAAGAGGCAGAGGUCGUCGGGGACCUAAUUACACCUCCGGUUAUGGUACAAAUUCUGAGCUGUCUAACCCCUCUGAAACGGAAUCUGAGCGUAAAGACGAGCUGAGUGAUUGGUCAUUGGCAGGAGAAGAUGAUCGAGACAGCCGACAUCAGCGUGACAGCAGGAGACGCCCAGGAGGAAGAGGCAGAAGUGUUUCAGGGGGUCGAGGUCGUGGUGGACCACGUGGUGGCAAAUCCUCCAUCAGUUCUGGUAGUCUUUUCUAUACUCUGUCAGCAUCCAUUCUUUGUGAACAGUAUAGUUUUACAAAAGUUAAUUCAUCUCCCAGGGCCACCCAUUUUUGGAAGUUUCUCUUGCUACUCAUUAUCUUAGAGAAAGUGGUGGACCAUAUAGCAGUAUCAGG
This 683-nucleotide small RNA is filed under the name Pongo abelii (Sumatran orangutan). Its description in RNAcentral is "retained intron". Lineage: Eukaryota; Metazoa; Chordata; Mammalia; Primates; Hominidae. The record is from RNAcentral.